This 492-nucleotide ribosomal RNA is filed under the name uncultured bacterium. Its description in RNAcentral is "partial 16S ribosomal RNA". It matches the Rfam family "Bacterial small subunit ribosomal RNA", at positions 29 to 507 of the family's 1533-position model. The record is from RNAcentral.
AGUGAACGCUGGUGGUAGGCCUAACACGUGCAAGUCGAACGGCAGCACAGUAAGAGCUUGCUCUUACGGGUGGCGAGUGGCGGACGGGUGAGGAAUACAUCGGAAUCUACUUUUUCGUGGGGGAUAACGUAGGGAAACUUACGCUAAUACCGCAUACGACCUACGGGUGAAAGCAGGGGAUCUUCGGACCUUGCGCGAUUGAAUGAGCCGAUGUCGGAUUAGCUAGUUGGCGGGGUAAAGGCCCACCAAGGCGACGAUCCGUAGCUGGUCUGAGAGGAUGAUCAGCCACACUGGAACUGAGACACGGUCCAGACUCCUACGGGAGGCAGCAGUGGGGAAUAUUGGACAAUGGGCGCAAGCCUGAUCCAGCCAUACCGCGUGGGUGAAGAAGGCCUUCGGGUUGUAAAGCCCUUUUGUUGGGAAAGAAAAGCAGCAGGUUAAUACCCCGCUGUUCUGACGGUACCCAAAGAAUAAGCACCGGCUAACUUCGUG